AGCGAACGCUGGCGGCAGGCUUAACACAUGCAAGUCGAACGCAUCCUUCGGGGUGAGUGGCAGACGGGUGAGUAACACGUGGGAACGUACCCUUCGAUCUGGGAUAACUUCGGGAAACUGGAGCUAAUACCGGAUACGCCCUUUUGGGGAAAGGUUUACUGCCGAAGGAUCGGCCCGCGUCUGAUUAGCUAGUUGGUGGGGUAACGGCCUACCAAGGCGACGAUCAGUAGCUGGUCUGAGAGGAUGAUCAGCCACACUGGGACUGAGACACGGCCCAGACUCCUACGGGAGGCAGCAGUGGGGAAUAUUGGACAAUGGGCGCAAGCCUGAUCCAGCCAUGCCGCGUGAGUGAUGAAGGCCUUAGGGUUGUAAAGCUCUUUUGUCCGGGACGAUAAUGACGGUACCGGAAGAAUAAGCCCCGGCUAACUUCGUG
Molecule: ribosomal RNA, 433 nt
Filed under: uncultured bacterium
Lineage: Bacteria
Description: partial 16S ribosomal RNA
Rfam family: Bacterial small subunit ribosomal RNA
Source: RNAcentral